Molecule: ribosomal RNA, 484 nt
Filed under: uncultured bacterium
Lineage: Bacteria
Description: partial 16S ribosomal RNA
Rfam family: Bacterial small subunit ribosomal RNA
Source: RNAcentral
GAUGAACGCUGGCGGCGUGCUUAACACAUGCAAGUCGAACGGUGAAGCAGGAGCUUGCUCUUGUGGAUCAGUGGCGAACGGGUGAGUAACACGUGAGCAACCUGCCCCUGACUCUGGGAUAAGCGCUGGAAACGGCGUCUAAUACUGGAUAUGUGAUGUGACCGCAUGGUCUGCAUCUGGAAAGAAUUUCGGUUGGGGAUGGGCUCGCGGCCUAUCAGCUUGGUGGUGAGGUAAUGGCUCACCAAGGCGUCGACGGGUAGCCAGCCUGGGAGGGUGACAGGCCACACUGGGACAGGGACACGGCCCAGACUACAACGGGAGGCAGCAGGGGGGAAUAUUGCACAAUGGGCGGAAGCCUGAUGCAGCAACGCCGCGUGAGGGAUGACGGCCUUCGGGUUGUAAACCUCUUUUAGCAGGGAGGAAGCGAGAGUGACGGUACCUGCAGAAAAAGCACCGGCUAACUACGUGCCAGCCGCCGCAGUAA